CGGUUGUAACUUAGUGGCGAACGGGUGAGUAACGCGUGAACAACCUGACCCAAAGAGGGGGAUAACAUUUGGAAACAGAUGCUAAUACCGCAUAAGACCACAACGUCACAUGGGCAAGGGGUCAAAGGAGCAAUCCGCUUUGGGAGGGGUUCGCGUCCCAUUAGGUAGUAGCGGGGUAACAGCCCACCUAGCCAACGAUGGUAGCCGAGCUGAGAGGCUGAUCGGCCACACUGGAACUGAGACACGGUCCAGACUCCUACGGGAGGCAGCAGUGGGGGAAUAUUGGGCAAUGGGCGCAAGCCUGACCCAGCAACGCCGCGUGAGGGAAGAAGGUUUUCGGAUUGUAAACCUCUGUCGCAGAAGACGAAGGAAGUGACGGUAUUCUGUGAGGAAGCCCCGGCUAACUACGUGCCAGCCGCCGC
RNAcentral lists this ribosomal RNA (422 nucleotides) under uncultured bacterium. RNAcentral's name for it is "bacterial SSU rRNA". It matches the Rfam family "Bacterial small subunit ribosomal RNA", at positions 82 to 518 of the family's 1533-position model. The record is from RNAcentral.